Long non-coding RNA from Gorilla gorilla gorilla (western lowland gorilla), 3988 nucleotides. RefSeq lists it as uncharacterized. NCBI's taxonomy places the organism in Eukaryota, Metazoa, Chordata, Mammalia, Primates, Hominidae. The record is from RefSeq and is a predicted model, not a curated record. The transcript is spliced from 3 exons.
UGAAAGACCCACCAAAAGGUCGCUGGCGUGGGCACUCCAGGGACACCAAAGUGGAGUGUGGGAGACCCUGCAAACCCCUCGGCUUGUGCGGGGAGCAUUCCUCCCCGAAAUGCUCGUCCACUUCUGGUUACGGCAAUCUUUGAGGGCAGGGAGGGUGGCCAGCAGGGGGCACUGUAGAGCAAGCACAUGGGCCUCGGAAUCCAAGCCUGGGUUCGAAUCCGGGCUGUGGGACGUCCUCACCAAGUCUCGAUUUCCUCCCGUAAACGAGGGAUGCUGGCGCCCCUCUCGCUGUGGGGGAAUAGGGCUUCCAGCGCUGCUCCCAGCAGAUCUCAGACCUCGGGACGUGAAGGUUAUUUUAGGGACAAGUUAACCAUGAAGUCUAUUUAGUGUAACAGCAAGAGCUGCUAAAAACGUGCACAGACAUUCCUUGUACAGCCUGAGUAUCCCUUAUCCAAAAUGCUUGGGACCAGAAGUGUUUUGGCGGCCGGGCAUGGUGGCUCACGCCUGUAAUCCCAGCACUUUGGGAGGCCGAGGCGGGCGGAUCACGAGGUCAGGGGAUUGAGACCAUCCUGGCUAACACGGUGAAGCCCCAUGUCUACUAAAAAAAAAAAAAAAAAAAAAUUAGCUGGGCUUGGUGGCGGGUGCCUGUAGUCCCAGCUACUCUGGAGGCUGAGGCAGGAGAAUGGCGUGAACCCGGGAGGCGGAGCUUGCAGUGAGUCAAGAUCGUGCCACUGCACUCCAGCCUGGGCGACAGAGCGAGACUCCGUCUCAAAAAAAAAAAGCUUUGGCUUUUUUUUGGGAAUAUUUGUACCAUAGUUAGCAGGUGAGCCUCCCAAAUUCCCACAUCCGAAAUCUGAAGUGUUCCAGUGAGUAUUUCCUUUGUGCGGCAUGUCGGCUGCUCAAAAGUUUUGAAAUGGGGGUAUUUGGAUUUGGGAUACUUAGCCCGUAGUGCUGAGGAGAAAAUUUCUGUCUCUUCUAUUUUUCCUACACUUCCCAAAUUUCUUUAAAGAGUAUGAAUAAAUGCUAUUGGGUAAAAAGAAAUCUGUUUAAAACCUGUGAUCUUUAAAGACUUGACCAGGGGAUCCCGCGCUUGAGGCACUGCCUAGGCCCAGUGAGCCAAGCCCAGCCAGAGUCGGGAGCGCGGCCCCGCCCCCGCAAGCCCCGCCCCGUGCCGAGGGCAUUUCCGGGCGCUCUAGGCAGCUCAGAGGACCCGUUCGGAGGCCCGGCGGGGGACCCCGGGCGAACUCAAGGGUGGCGGGCCAGGGCUGGGCGCGUGCCUGGCGUUGCUCGCGCGGCUGGGGGCCAUGGCUGUGGGGCCUCUCUGGGAGGGGUCGCGAGGCUGUGAACCAGCACGGGGCUACGUUGUAGAGAGAGAGAUGGGGCGUCACGGAGGCAGGGGGCGCCAGGCAGGGCGCGGCUGCCAGAGGCCCAGAGGCCUGCAGAGCUGGGCCCUGCAGGUCUGAGGUGCAGGACCCGAUUCUGGCCCAAGCAGGGGAGUCCCACGGCUCGAGCUGCCCGUCCAGGUCGUGUCUGAGGAGAGCCUGGGCAGCGGCCUGUGCAGAGGGCCGGCCAGCAGCUCCUGCUUUGAGGGCUUGGAGGAGAACAGAUUCCCGAACCUGGCCCAUGAUCAAUGUAUUUGGGUAUUUGAACUAAAUCCAGAUUUCCUGGCUUCCCCUGAGGCCUGCUGAAUCCCUUGGGGUGGGGCCUGGGAAUCCGCAUUUUCCAGUGGGCUUCCCAGGUAGUUGGGUGGUCCCUGAGUGGGUUCCCAUGACCCCAUGAAACAAGACCCUAGAAAACGCAAGGCAAAGUGGCCUGGUGAGUGGCCAAUGGUCCACAGGAACUGGAUGUGAUCAGAGCGAGACCUGCAUCAACUGGGCAGGGGAGGCGUGGAGCCAUUCUGAGGAAGAGACCCAGCCGGAACCCAGGGAAGAGCGGGCUGUGAAAACUGGGCAGAAACUUGCAGCGACUCGGAAGACACUGCCAGGAAACCCUCCCCGGGCCUCCUGUGGGGCCUGUAGCAGCCGCAGGGGUCGGUUCUCACCUUCUGGUCCCAGCCAGGUUGUCUUGGAGUCAGCUAAUGGGCAAGGCCCCUACCUCUCUUAGGAUCUGAGGAUGGGAGGGGCUGCGUUUUUCCAGAGGAUCUGCACGUGUGCAGGCUGAGUGUUGAGACUUGAUUGGUGUCAACUGGCACUGCCUGCCCAUGAUGCACAAAAGCUACUGUAAGAAACAGGGUCCAUGUCUCCAGGGAGCAGGACCCCGUUCUGAGGCCACAACCCCGAGGGCAGUCUCCGCCUGCAGAGUCCUCCCUCUCGCACCGGCUCACCUCGUGUUGAAUCCCUUGGCUACGGUUUGGUGUGAGAAAAGAGAUGGGUGUUUCACUCCCUGCUGCAUCCCUGGUGACGGCCCUGGCAUUUCGGGGCAUGAGAUCUUUGCUUAAAGGUUUUGUGGUGGUCACUGCACAGGGGUUGGGGGUGGGGUCCCUUGGUGCAAUUUAUCAGAUUCUGCUGUGUGGAUGACAUCCGCAGUGUUCCUCUCCAGUGGGGAUUAUCUGAGACCUUUCCGCAUGCCCGCACCCACAGUCUGCUCCCUCACGGCAGCAUGAACUCAGGAGGCGGGCGUUCCCACAGUCAUUACAUUUGCAGGGCCUCUCUAUGUCCACUCUGAUGCCUGAGGACCAGCGCUUCCACGAAGGUGUGGCCACGUCCAGUGCUGCUCAUUGGCUUCUCUCCUGCGGGAAUGUUCUGAUCCCGAACGGAGCCUGAGCAUGCGCGAAACCCUUCCCACGUUCACAAGGUGCUUCUCCAGUGUUCCAUUACAUCUCACCUAUGCACACUACAUGCAUACGGUUUCCACCGGCUGUGUGUGUCCCUAGAAGUCACAUUCACGGCGUUUCUCCCUGGGAGGAAUUCUCCUGUGCAUGGCUGCUCUGAGACCAUUUGCACCUGCGGCCACGCGUGGGCUCCUCAAGGCUUACAAACCAGGCUGGACUCCUGAAGCCCUAGCUGCACUUGGCACUCGGCGAGGUUUUUCUACAAAAUCUCAUCUCAGCCAUCUGAGUCCUUCACCAUUUAUCUUAUGAAUCCGCUCGAACGUACAAGGAAGGGCCUCUCUGCCCUCCUGCUCCAGGGAGGAGGUUUUGACCCUCAGCUCCACCUCUGCGGCUGGCCCGGUCUCCGCAAACCUUUUUCUGCUUGGCCAGCUGGUGCCAUGCUAGGCUUUCCCACUAGGGGCGCCAGAGAAAGCGCGCGAGGCUGCGGAGGAGAGAGGGGCACACUCUUUCCGGUUUGCUUCCGGUUUUUUCCUCAGGUUUCCGGUCUGUUUGGUGCCCUGGUCGCGUGUCUUCGGAACUCUGCUGCUUCUCCCCGGCAGGAGCACUUCCUUCCGCGGCUGCUAAAACUGGUGUGCGGGUUCCCAACUUCGCAGAAGCAGCUUCAUCGGCCCCCCGCUAGAGACCUCAGACUGCAGCCAUCGACGCCUCGCCUCGGGGAUCUGUCCCCACCCUUGGGGCCAGCUCACCAUGAGUCAGGCCCUGUGCUAGGUGCUGGGAUGAAGCAGUGACUGACACAGGCCUGGACCUGUCCUUGUGAAGAGUGCGUCUGUGACACAGACACUGUGCCAUGUGGCAAAACUUGAACGGAGACAUCAGCUCUUUGUGGGUCUCAAGUCUACUGGCUUUCAAUCAGCUCUUCUGCUUGACAGCUGCAGGUCUUGGGACUGCCCAGCCCCCAUAACCCUGUGAGUGCAUUCCUGAUAAUAACCCUCUUUGUCUUGUCCUCCCCCACCCCACAUCAUUGGUUCUGUUUCUCUGGAGAACCAUAAUACAUCAUUUACUAAUCAGGAAAUAGAUUCAGAGACAUUAAUAACUCAUCCAACCUCACAGUUAACUGCAGAGUUGGGCUUGAAAUUCCAAGGUCGAUUUUCUUAGCCAGUACACCAUGCUACAUAUAUGUAUGUAAAAAUAAAAACGCUUGUGAACUGAAAAGGGUCC